This 556-nucleotide ribosomal RNA is filed under the name Salmonella enterica subsp. enterica serovar Agona str. 0322. Its description in RNAcentral is "bacterial SSU rRNA". It matches the Rfam family "Bacterial small subunit ribosomal RNA", at positions 1 to 546 of the family's 1533-position model. Lineage: Bacteria; Pseudomonadati; Pseudomonadota; Gammaproteobacteria; Enterobacterales; Enterobacteriaceae. The record is from RNAcentral.
AAAUUGAAGAGUUUGAUCAUGGCUCAGAUUGAACGCUGGCGGCAGGCCUAACACAUGCAAGUCGAACGGUAACAGGAAGCAGCUUGCUGCUUUGCUGACGAGUGGCGGACGGGUGAGUAAUGUCUGGGAAACUGCCUGAUGGAGGGGGAUAACUACUGGAAACGGUGGCUAAUACCGCAUAACGUCGCAAGACCAAAGAGGGGGACCUUCGGGCCUCUUGCCAUCAGAUGUGCCCAGAUGGGAUUAGCUUGUUGGUGAGGUAACGGCUCACCAAGGCGACGAUCCCUAGCUGGUCUGAGAGGAUGACCAGCCACACUGGAACUGAGACACGGUCCAGACUCCUACGGGAGGCAGCAGUGGGGAAUAUUGCACAAUGGGCGCAAGCCUGAUGCAGCCAUGCCGCGUGUAUGAAGAAGGCCUUCGGGUUGUAAAGUACUUUCAGCGGGGAGGAAGGUGUUGUGGUUAAUAACCACAGCAAUUGACGUUACCCGCAGAAGAAGCACCGGCUAACUCCGUGCCAGCAGCCGCGGUAAUACGGAGGGUGCAAGCGUUAAUC